This is a non-coding RNA of Myotis lucifugus (little brown bat), 35 nucleotides long. NCBI's taxonomy places the organism in Eukaryota, Metazoa, Chordata, Mammalia, Chiroptera, Vespertilionidae. The record is from Rfam.
CUGUCUCUUGCUUCAACAGUGUUUGGAUGGAAUAG